Molecule: non-coding RNA, 1977 nt
Organism: Arachis ipaensis
Lineage: Eukaryota; Viridiplantae; Streptophyta; Magnoliopsida; Fabales; Fabaceae
Source: RefSeq, a predicted model, not a curated record
AUAAAAGACCCAAACCAAACAAAUAUUUACCAAACGCAUACCAAAAAUGAAAAAAAAUAAAAGUUAUUCGAGAGAGAGAACGACGGAGAGUCUGAAACCCUAAAAUAUGGAUUUCAUCGCCAUCGCCGGUCAAUUCCUUGCCGCCAUUGCCGCCAAGUUUCCUCCGUCAACAGCUCAACGCGUCACCCGCUGGAGUUAUGAAUGGAGGACGAGGUGAUUGUGGAGCCUCUCAAUUCGUGGAGCUCUUGCCUCUCAGGAUAGUACUUCAGGGAAGAUUUCAUUCAAAUCGUUGAGAUAAUGCUUAGAUAUUCCGUUUCUACGUCGUCUUUGAUGGCGGCUUCUUUCGCUGGUUCUGAUUUUGCUCUGGCAGCUUGAAGCACUCACAGCACAGUUUCUUCGCAGACUCGGUGGCACUGGCUGAGGAGAUCUAGAAAGUGAGCGAGCUGGAGUCUUUGGAAGCUUCGAUUGAAGCUGCAUUCGAAGCUAUUAGAUCUCGUGGAACUAAUUCUCAUGCCGUUCCAAGUCAUUACGGAAUUGACUGGUUUGAGUAAGCAGACCAAGUGAAUGUAGAAGGGCCUAGGGUUCGAUCUAAUCCCAAAUUGGAUAUAAUUUGGAAGAAAUACUUAACAAGGUUGGAGAAUUUAAGCGCCUGCUUGGUGUUAAACCAACUCCUAAGAAGGAACUGAUAGGUGCAACCAUUGUGACUCAUCCAAAAUCAUUGAAAUAUCCAAAGGAGUUUGAUGCAAGGACUCAAUGGUCUCAGUGUAGUACCAUUGGAAGAAUUAUAGGAGGUGCUGAAUCUCCCCCCCCCUCAUAUUCAUAAUAACAUGGAUUGGUGAAUCAAUGUCUGCAUUGAAGAUCAGGGUCAUUGUGGUUCUUGUUGGGCAUUUGGUGCUGUAGAGUCAUUAUCAGAUCAAUUUUGCAUUCAUUUUGAUGUGGGAGAAUGAUGAUCUCGGCCAUGCAAUGUCACGAUCUUCAGUAGAAGAUUUAGAGCAACCAAAUGGUAGGUAAUUAAUUUUCAAAGAAAUGUUUAGUUCCAUGCUAUCAUGAUCCUUCUGACCACAACUUUUUAAACUUUGAUUUUAUUGUUAGCACAUGAAGGAUAUAAUUUGGGGACAGACAAUGAUGAUUAUGGAAAAGCACUUCAAGAUAGUUUGAACUCAUCUGCAUACCCUCCAUAUUUUACUUGUUAUCUUUUUAAACUUUGAUUUUAUUUUUAUGCUUUAUUGAACUUUAUUGAAUUUAUUCACUAUUACAUGCUUUAUUAUAUCUUACUGAAAUGAUGUUUGUACUAGUUUAGUAUUUUUUGUAUACAGCUCUCUUUUACAUUUUCUUUUUCUUUUUAUAACAUAAAAGACAAAUUUAAACUAAUCCACUUUUUAGUCACUCCGAAAAUCUAAUGGCUUUGUGAAAUAUAUGGGCUUUCAGGUACUCAAGAAGAACGAUUGUUCUUUACAAAAGAUUCUUCAGGACAACUAGAAUACUUUAAUCAGCCAAAUUGAUUUUAGUGCUUUAUAUAGUUGUGAGUGGGUUUUGUGUUUUGAUAUUUUGUUUUUGCCUUCUCUUUAUUUUGUUUUUCCCUUGUGUAAAAUAUCUUAUUUUUGGUUGCAAAUAUCAAUACCUCCAGGCAGAUUUAAAUAAAGCUAUUGCAAUGAUCAGCAUUGAUGUUUUGCACUUGGUAUGAGAUUGCAUGUGCUCUAGUUAUAUGCUAAAAUUGUCAUAUCAUGAGGAUAUUGGUCAUUUAGUUCUGUGAUUAGGUUUUUCUUUGUCAGGAUAUAUAUAGAAAAAUUGCUAACAUGUAUGUAAAUGAAUUAGCAGGCCCAUGUCAAGGCAAAAUCUGAUGGCAGCUUAGUGCUUUAGGAGAAAUAGCGCCUGUGUGUUUGUCUCCUUUCUCCUUUCCUUAACACUACCUCUUUCUUCCCUAUUUUCCCUCCCUCAACUUUUACCAUUUUUAUAGUUUAGGAUGUUGCCAUUUUU